Molecule: transfer RNA, 82 nt
Filed under: Syntrophothermus lipocalidus DSM 12680
Lineage: Bacteria; Bacillati; Bacillota; Clostridia; Eubacteriales; Syntrophomonadaceae
Rfam family: tRNA
About the family: Transfer RNA (tRNA) molecules are approximately 80 nucleotides in length.
Source: Rfam by way of RNAcentral
GCGGCAGUGGCGGAAUUGGCAGACGCAGUAGACUUAGGAUCUACCGGGUAACACCGUGGGGGUUCGAGUCCCUUCUGCCGCA